CCUUUCCCCACUGUUUAUUAGUUCUGAUUCCUAUUCCUGGCUCUUCUUUCCAAAUCUCCUUAUCCACACCUGUGAUGUGUUUGUUUCCUGGGGGUGUGCCUGCCCAGCUGAAGUUGUUCAGGUGCUUCUAGAAAGGACUUCCUUUCUCUCCGGGAGCAAAGCUUGUUCCACAAAUUUGGCUUAAUCUCCAGGAACAGGCUAUACCACAAGCCUUGAAAGAUUUCCUGCCCCAGACUCAGUCUGACUGCUCUUUAUCUGAUCAGCUGUCAUACCAAAAACAAAGUAUACAACUACAGAUGAGUUACAAGGACCCUUUCUGUCUCAGCAGGAUGUUAAGCUGAGUAAGAACUGAUGCCUCUCCCAUUGGGGUCUGUCUCUCUUAUCCAGCCAGAAGGAUCACUUUUAAGUUUCAUGAGGAUAAUAGUCUCACAGAUAUCACAUGAAGAGAAAUCCUUCAUUGAUCAUGAAGCUGUGCCACCUUUGGAAUGGACAUUUAUUAAUAUCUAAAAUGGACUUACGAGUCUUGUGGCAAACACCAAACUUUUCACUGGAGUUUUGCAUGGCUUUUAAAUGAGGAAAGUUUGAAGACUGCAAACAGUAACCUUGCUCCUGCACACUAGGGAAUUGCUGAUUUAUGCUAUAUAUGUAGCUGCGAAACAGCAAUGCAUCAAAUAACCUUAUGAGUCUGCCUAAGCACAAAAUCUUUCAUUUCUCUGUAGUGAAGGAGUGAAACAAGUUUGCAGCAGUUCUGGGGACACAGCAUCUUGGGAAAAGCAGGGCUGUGAGAAACUAUUGGCAGGCUGAAAUUGUUCAAACACAGCUGUCUUUGCUGGAGUUCUGAAAGGGAUGUUACACCUGUGAAUUGUAAAAUUUGCUGCUGAUGUUGCUAUCAAGACACCUGCUCAGGCAUACAAAUAAUUGUGAAUAAAUCAACCUUGGGAAUUCA
This 946-nucleotide long non-coding RNA is filed under the name Cyanistes caeruleus (blue tit). Its description in RNAcentral is "lncRNA (ENSCCEG00000013188.1)". Lineage: Eukaryota; Metazoa; Chordata; Aves; Passeriformes; Paridae. The record is from RNAcentral.